Molecule: ribosomal RNA, 386 nt
Filed under: uncultured bacterium
Lineage: Bacteria
Description: bacterial SSU rRNA
Rfam family: Bacterial small subunit ribosomal RNA
Source: RNAcentral
GACGAACGCUGGCGGCGUGCUUAACACAUGCAAGUCGAGCGGUAAGGCCCUUUCGGGGGUACACGAGCGGCGAACGGGUGAGUAACACGUGGGUGACCUGCCCUCAGCUCUGGGAGUAAGCCUGGGAAACUAGGGUCUAAUACUGGAUAUGACUCCACGGUGCAUGUCGUGGGGUGGAAAGCCUUGUGCGGCUGAGGAUGGGCCCGCGGCCUAUCAGCUUGUUGGUGGGGUGGAUGGCCUACCAAGGCGACGACGGGUAGCCGGCCUGAGAGGGCGACCGGCCACACUGGGACUGAGACACGGCCCAGACUCCUACGGGAGGCAGCAGUGGGGAAUCUUGCGCAAUGGGCGAAAGCCUGACGCAGCGACGCCGCGUGAGGGAUGAC